Molecule: ribosomal RNA, 433 nt
Filed under: uncultured bacterium
Lineage: Bacteria
Description: partial 16S ribosomal RNA
Rfam family: Bacterial small subunit ribosomal RNA
Source: RNAcentral
AAUGAACGCUGGCGGCAUGCCUAACACAUGCAAGUCGAACGAAGGCUUCGGCCUUAGUGGCGCACGGGUGCGUACCGCGUGGGAAUCUGCCCUUGGGUUCGGAAUAACAGUUAGAAUUGACGCCUAAUACCGGCUGAUUUCUUAAAACCAAAGAUUUAUCGCCCAAGGAUGAGCCCGCGUAGGAUUAGCUAGUUGGUGGGGUAAAGGCCUACCAAGGCGACGAUCCUUAGCUGGUCUGAGAGGAUGAUCAGCCACACUGGGACUGAGACACGGCCCAGACUCCUACGGGAGGCAGCAGUGGGGAAUAUUGGACAAUGGGCGAAAGCCUGAUCCAGCAAUGCCGCGUGAGUGAUGAAGGCCUUAGGGUUGUAAAGCUCUUUUACCCGGGAUGAUAAUGACAGUACCGGGAGAAUAAGCUCCGGCUAACUUCGUG